RNAcentral lists this ribosomal RNA (220 nucleotides) under uncultured bacterium. RNAcentral's name for it is "partial 16S ribosomal RNA". It matches the Rfam family "Bacterial small subunit ribosomal RNA", at positions 57 to 305 of the family's 1533-position model. The record is from RNAcentral.
GCAAGUCGAGCGAAGUUUUUAUUAACUUAGCGGCGGACGGGUGAGUAACACGUGGGAACGUGCCCUUUAGUCAGGAAUAACUCAUGGAAACGUGAGCUAAUACCGGAUACACCCUUCGGGGGAAAGAUUUAUCGCUAGGAUCGGCCCGCGGUGGAUUAGGUAGUUGGUGAGGUAAAAGCUCACCAAGCCAACGAUCCAUAGCUGGUUUGAGAGGAUGAUC